Molecule: long non-coding RNA, 2215 nt
Filed under: Helianthus annuus (common sunflower)
Lineage: Eukaryota; Viridiplantae; Streptophyta; Magnoliopsida; Asterales; Asteraceae
Description: hypothetical non coding rna
Source: RNAcentral
AUGUAAAAAAAUAAAUUAAUAGGGUAUAUCCAUACAAACACCAAUAUAGGUCCACUUACAAAACUAUUUUUAAGGUUUAGAUUAAAAGGUUUAGACCUCCCAAUACCCAAUUUCAUUAAGGCGGGCACAUUUUUUCGAGUUCGAACAGGAUACACGAAUUCUCAGGACCGGCCCUACUAAGCAGGCUAUGUGUACCUCAAAAAGAAAGACUGAAAGAGUCAUGAGGCUUAGUUAUGUGUCUUAGAAGUAUUAGGUAAUGUAUAGAGUAGAAUCUUAACAUGGUAUUUGUGAACUAAGUUGCGAUAUUGAAAAAGAUGUCAUUUAUAUUGUUGAAAGAAAAAUUAUAAAAGGUAGGGUGAUGGCAAAGUGGUAUCAAAGACACAGGGCCGUUCCAACGUUUUUGUAGAUCCUAAGCGGACUACGAAGUGGGGGCCCUUUUGCAAAACAUAUAGAGAUUAAUAGAAAAAUUAGCUGCUAAAGUUAACCUAUGUUUAGUAAUUAGCCCUAAUUUUGCCCAUAAAUUCUCCUCCAAUCCCGACAGACCCGACGCCAUGAGUGAUAACCGUUAGUGAUAGCCGAUAACCUAGAAAUUCGAAAGAGUAGGUUGCGAUAGGAGGUAGGAAUGAUUCACGGAAUUCGGAUGAGGUCGAGUGGUAGAUGGUUGCUACAGACUACAAUUAUGUCUGUGGUUUAAUUUCGAAACUGGGCCUUUUUUCCUAAACAAUUUUUAUCUGUGUAACUUUAUUAAAAAAACAUGGUUUAGUUUUGCUUUUUAUUUGAGUCUGAUACAUACACAAUAUAUAAAACUUUAUUAAAAAUUAGAGGCCCUUGAUUUUUGGUGGCCCUAGGCCCGUGCCUAGAUUGGUAAGCCUAACGGGCCGACCCUGCAAAGACAUCCAAUUUAUAAAGUAGAAGAGAAAUUUGUAUGAUUCUAAGCAUCAAAACUAGUAUCAUGUUGAGACUAGUUCAUUUUUUAAUAAAAGUAAAUUGUGAUGUGAAAGUGUUUAGGCAGAAAGAUUAGUGUAUUACUAUUUACUAAGAGGCUGUUUGGUAGCCUCUGAAUGGUCAUUAAGAGGCUAUAUCUUAAUGGAACCAUUAAGAAUUUUACAAUGAGAAGGCAGAAGAAUGUGACAUGUGAUGAUUUACCAUUCAGAGGUUACCUCUUAACCAUUCAGACUUGAGGUUACCUCUUAUUCAUUCAGAGGUUUUCAACCAUUAAGAGGUAGCAUCUGAAUGGUCAUUAAGAGGCUACCAAACAGCCCCUAAGUGAGAAUGUGAUAACCCUUGAAAGAUUAUGUAGGGGGAAUCAGACGCUUACCAUCGGUGCAACACCCCUUUAAAGUUAGUGUGUUGGUUAAAUGAAGCUUUUGGUCGGGCUUGUAUCACUUUGGCCCGUGUUUAUGUACUCUUUGAAGUUUUUUAUAUUUUUAAAGGUACCAGACGCAGAUUGAUUCAAAUGUUGAUCAUGAAUCUUUGGGUACCCUGGAAGUGAUAUACGUUGGUAGCAGAAUAAUAAAGCUUUUACUUCACUAAACAUAGGAACUUCAAUACAUACGAGUGUUAAAAAUAAGGUUAUUGGAUUUUAUCACCUUUAACUAUUGGCCAUUGGCCGUUGCCACCCCCAAUUAUCACUUUGACGUCUGCCACCCUCAACUUAACACUGAGUGUGUUCUGUCACCAGAUCACUAACUUUUGAUCAUGUUACUAUACUUUUGGGGGUGUCCUAAGAUCCCUAAAACCUUCUCAAGAUCCCUAUGACACCCUAAAAAGUGUAGUAACAUGAUCAAUAGUUAGUGAUCAGUUAACGGCGUAAUGACAUAACACACUAAGUGUUAAGUUAGAGGUGACGGGCGUCAAAAUGAUAGUUGGGGAUGAUAAAAUCUAAUAACCCUUAAAAAUAAAAGCAUAGAGGUUGCGUGAGAAACACAUUCGAAAACAUAUUGAGGAGUUAAAAAAUAUAGAUACAACUUUAAUGUGUUGAUGCUUUUAAAAUCUAAGGUAAACUACGAGGCAUGGGUCAUACAUAAUAUUAGUCUAGUCUUAUUAGAGGUGGCAAAAUGGGUGGGUUGAGUAGGUUUAGGUAUGGGUUAGAAUGGGUUUAUUAAGAAAUGGGUUAGAAUGGGUUUAGGUCACAAUAGGUUUCGGUUAUGAUAGACUAAAAAUUAAAAAAAAAAAACAGAAAAAUUUAAAAAAAAAAUCAGAAAAAUUUUAAAAA